GUAAUAUUUUUACAAAAUGUCAAGUUCGUCAAACUAGAACAAAGCUAAGUUCUGUUUGUGGGUGCGGGUGUGUGGGUGUAUACAUGUCAGACCUGGAUUUGCUGCGAGGCCAAGUAUCUGACUGCCCAUGGUAGUAUAAUGUUCAAGCAAAACUCCCAAAAUGAUGUAUAGAGCUGAAUACCUGGUCAGUUAUGCCAAGUUGGUUAAAUCUCCUUCCAUCUCAGUAGGGUUUCGCAUAUGGGAAAAAGCUCCAAAACCACAAAAAACCUGGCAUCCAGUCUUGUGUUUGUUAUUCCUCUGCAAAUAAUAAUUACAGGUUGCUCAUCUUUUUGAGUUCGUACCUUUCCAUAAAGCAAAAAAAGGAGAACUCUGAAAUAAGUAAGAAUCCAAGUGUAGCAAGCAAAACCAACAGCUCUAAGCAAUUAACUAAUCUGUUUGUUUAGCAUACAAUGACUAAUAUACCUGUGUGCAACUUUGGAAAUGGAGCUGGAGCAAGCAAAACAUAAUCUAGCCAACAAAGUGAGCGACCUGUAGCUGUCGAACACAUGGAAGAUUAGUCUAACAUGGUUCUCAUAAUACUUUAAUCUGGACAAGUUGUCAGAUCAAGAAACAGAAAUUUUGGAAAUGGCGACAAUUGAAAGUCCUCAACCAAUAAAGCUUGCAGCACAAGGAAAAGCAGAAUCUUAGCUAACACAAAAGAAAACUCUCAAAUUGAUGGCAUUCACUAUUAUGCUGACCCUCUGAAACAUAACUUGUUAAAACCUAGAAGCUCACGAUCUAUUGCAACCAUAACCAGCGUCAGCCAGGCCUAAGAAAUGUUUAUGCUGUACAAAGUUUACCCAUAAGAGAGUUUAGGAAAUAAUGAACAGAUUGCAUGUGUACCACGUAUGGAAUUUCUUAUAUAAAGCAAAUAAUGAAAAAAGCUGGUUCCCCAAACUUAGAACCACAGGGCGAUAUAACAAUGGACAGACCUAAAAAUGUUUGUAGAGAAUGAAUGAAUACCUGGCCAGACAUCCAUCAAAGGAUGAAAGCCAAGAAUGGGGGAAAAGUUGGCAGCAAAAUUAUCUUCAUCAAGGAAAUAAACUGCACUAAUCAGUAGUUUUGUUUGUUUAAAGUACCAGGAUGCAGGUGAGGUAUGAGAUCAAGAUGUUAAUGAAGGUACAGAAAACAAAUCCACACAAAAUUCCUAAAUAAUCAUAAUUAAGAAUACUUAUUCCACAAUCUGAAUUAUCAUUGCUUAGGUUGUAGAAAGAACAUAAGAAGGGAUGAAGCGACAAACCCCCCCCCCCCCAUUUGCUUGAA
Molecule: long non-coding RNA, 1302 nt
Filed under: Phoenix dactylifera (date palm)
Lineage: Eukaryota; Viridiplantae; Streptophyta; Magnoliopsida; Arecales; Arecaceae
Description: long non-coding RNA (PDAC_LNC002138)
Source: RNAcentral